AUAAUGGGUCAGCGACUUAUAUUCUGUAGCAAGGUUAACCGAAUAGGGGAGCCGAAGGGAAACCGAGUCUUAACUGGGCGUUAAGUUGCAGGGUAUAGACCCGAAACCCGGUGAUCUAGCCAUGGGCAGGUUGAAGGUUGGGUAACACUAACUGGAGGACCGAACCGACUAAUGUUGAAAAAUUAGCGGAUGACUUGUGGCUGGGGGUGAAAGGCCAAUCAAACCGGGAGAUAGCUGGUUCUCCCCGAAAGCUAUUUAGGUAGCGCCUCGUGAAUUCAUCUCCGGGGGUAGAGCACUGUUUCGGCAAGGGGGUCAUCCCGACUUACCAACCCGAUGCAAACUGCGAAUACCGGAGAAUGUUAUCACGGGAGACACACGGCGGGUGCUAACGUCCGUCGUGAAGAGGGAAACAACCCAGACCGCCAGCUAAGGUCCCAAAGUCAUGGUUAAGUGGGAAACGAUGUGGGAAGGCCCAGACAGCCAGGAUGUUGGCUUAGAAGCAGCCAUCAUUUAAAGAAAGCGUAAUAGCUCACUGGUCGAGUCGGCCUGCGCGGAAGAUGUAACGGGGCUAAACCAUGCACCGAAGCUGCGGCAGCGACGCUGAUGCGUUGUUGGGUAGGGGAGCGUUCUGUAAGCCUGCGAAGGUGUGCUGUGAGGCAUGCUGGAGGUAUCAGAAGUGCGAAUGCUGACAUAAGUAACGAUAAAGCGGGUGAAAAGCCCGCUCGCCGGAAGACCAAGGGUUCCUGUCCAACGUUAAUCGGGGCAGGGUGAGUCGACCCCUAAGGCGAGGCCGAAAGGCGUAGUCGAUGGGAAACAGGUUAAUAUUCCUGUACUUGGUGUUACUGCGAAGGGGGGACGGAGAAGGCUAUGUUGGCCGGGCGACGGUUGUCCCGGUUUAAGCGUGUAGGCUGGUUUUCCAGGCAAAUCCGGAAAAUCAAGGCUGAGGCGUGAUG
This 953-nucleotide ribosomal RNA is filed under the name Escherichia coli. RNAcentral describes it as "partial 23S ribosomal RNA". It matches the Rfam family "Bacterial large subunit ribosomal RNA", at positions 612 to 1568 of the family's 2925-position model. Lineage: Bacteria; Pseudomonadati; Pseudomonadota; Gammaproteobacteria; Enterobacterales; Enterobacteriaceae. The record is from RNAcentral.